GAUGAACGCUAGCGGCAGGCCUAAUACAUGCAAGUCGGACGGGAUCCAUUGAUAGCUUGCUAUCAAUGGUGAGAGUGGCGCACGGGUGCGUAACGCGUGAGCAACCUGCCUCCAUCAGGGGGAUAGCCUCUCGAAAGAGAGAUUAACACCGCAUAAUAUCAACAGUUCGCAUGUUCAGUUGAUUAACUAUUUAUAGGAUGGAGAUGGGCUCGCGUGACAUUAGCUAGUUGGUAGGGUAACGGCUUACCAAGGCGACGAUGUCUAGGGGCUCUGAGAGGAGAAGCCCCCACACUGGUACUGAGAAACGGACCAGACUCCUACGGGAGGCAGCAGUAAGGAAUAGUGGUGGAUGGGCGGAAGCCUGAACCAGCCAUGCCGCGUGAAGGAGGAUUGGCAUAUGGGUUGUAAACUGCUUUUGUCCAGGAAUAACCCUAAAUACGGGUAUUUAGCUGAAGGUACUGGAAGAAUAAGGAUCGGCUAACUCCGUG
This 488-nucleotide ribosomal RNA is filed under the name uncultured bacterium. RNAcentral describes it as "partial 16S ribosomal RNA". It matches the Rfam family "Bacterial small subunit ribosomal RNA", at positions 28 to 507 of the family's 1533-position model. The record is from RNAcentral.